Molecule: ribosomal RNA, 839 nt
Filed under: Genea hispidula
Lineage: Eukaryota; Fungi; Ascomycota; Pezizomycetes; Pezizales; Pyronemataceae
Description: LSU rRNA
Rfam family: Eukaryotic large subunit ribosomal RNA
Source: RNAcentral
GGAUUGCCUCAGUAACUGCGAGUGAAGUGGCAAAAGCUCAAAUUUGAAAUCCGGUGCCUCUUGGUGCCUGAGUUGUAAUUUGGAGAGACAAAUUUGUUUGAUGGCGCCGGCCUAGGUUCCUUUGAACAGGACAACAUAGAGGGUGAGAAUCCCGUUCCUGGCCGGAUGUUCCGUCAUAUAUCUAAAUUGUCUUCGACGAGUCGAGUUGUUUGGGAAUGCAGCUCAAAAUGGGUGGUAAAUGUCAUCUAAAGCUAAAUAUUGGCGAGAGACCGAUAGCGCACAAGUAGAGUGAUCGAAAGAUGAAAAGCACUUUGAAAAGAGAGUCAAAAAGUACGUGAAAUUGCUGAAAGGGAAGCGCUUGAGACCAGACUCGAACCGUGGUGAUCAGCCGUGCUUCUGUGCGGUGUCACUUGCCACGGUUUGGGCCAGCAUCGGUUCUGGCGGUCGGAUAAAAGGUGGAGGAAUGUAGCUUCCUUCUGGGAGUGUUAAUUUAGCCACCACCACAAUGCGGCCAGCCGGGACCGAGGACCGCGCCUUCUUUGGCUAGGAUGCUGGCGUAAUGGUCUUAAGCGACCCGUCUUGAAACACGGACCAAGGAGUCUAACAUCUAUGCGAGUGUUCGGGUGGAAAAACCCUUGCGCGAAAUGAAAGUGAACGGAGGUGGGAACCCGCAAGGGUGCACCAUCGACCGAUCCUGAAGUCUUCGGAAGGAUUUGAGUAGGAGCACAGAUGUUGGGACCCGAAAGAUGGUGAACUAUGCCUGAAUAGGGUGAAGCCAGAGGAAACUCUGGUGGAGGCUCGCAGCGGUUCUGACGUGCAAAUCGAUCGUCAAAUUUGGG